Molecule: ribosomal RNA, 470 nt
Filed under: uncultured soil bacterium
Lineage: Bacteria
Description: bacterial SSU rRNA
Rfam family: Bacterial small subunit ribosomal RNA
Source: RNAcentral
AGAGUUUGAUCCUGGCUCAGAGCGAACGCUGGCGGCAGGCCUAAAACAUGCAAGUCGAGCGCCGUAGCAAUACGGAGCGGCAGACGGGUGAGUAACACGUGGGAACGUACCCUUUGGUUCGGAACAACCCAGGGAAACUUGGGCUAAUACCGGAUAAGUCCGCAAGGAGAAAGAUUUAUCGCCGAAGGAUCGGCCCGCGUCUGAUUAGCUUGUUGGUGAGGUAACGGCUCACCAAGGCGACGAUCAGUAGCUGGUCUGAGAGGAUGAUCAGCCACACUGGGACUGAGACACGGCCCAGACUCCUACGGGAGGCAGCAGUUAGGAAUCUUGGACAAUGGGCGCAAGCCUGAUCCAGCCAUGCCGCGUGGGUGAUGAAGGCCCUAGGGUUGUAAAGCCCUUUCAGCGGGGAAGAUAAUGACGGUACCCGCAGAAGAAGCCCCGGCUAACUUCGUGCCAGCAGCCGCGGUAAU